AAUGAAGAGCCUGAUUAAAGGAUUACCGUGAUAGGGUAAAAUAUGUAGCACAAAAUUAAACUACCUUUAUUA
Molecule: transfer RNA, 72 nt
Filed under: Nasutitermes sp. AUS97
Lineage: Eukaryota; Metazoa; Arthropoda; Insecta; Blattodea; Termitidae
Description: tRNA-Ile
Source: RNAcentral